CCUCGGAACCCGCAAGGGUUGGUAGAGGAGCAUUCUUAAAGGAACGAAGCAGUACCGAAAGGAGCUGUGGACUUUUAAGAAGAGAGAAUGCCGGAAUGAGUAGCGAGAGUAAGGUGAGAAUCCUUACGGCCGAAUAUCCAAGGUUUCCAGGGUAAAGCUGAUCUGCCCUGGGGAAGUCGGGACCUAAGGCGAGGCCGAGAGGCGUAGCCGAUGGACAACAGGUUGAGAUUCCUGUACUACAGUAUGACAGAACUGUGGGGACGCAGAAGGAGAGCACUACCUGGAAUGGAAUCCAGGGGCAAGCACAGGAGGGGUACGGCUGGAAAAACCGCCGUGCAACCCAAAGGUGUGACGCAUACCGAACUAAAGUAGGGAAAUGUGUGAGCCGGCUGCCGAGAAAAGCCGCUAUUGUUUGUACUGUACCCGUACCGUAAACCGACACAGGUGGAUGAGGAGAGAAUCCUAAGGCCGACGGAAGAAGCAUUGCUAAGGAACUCGGCAAAAUGACCCUGUAACUUCGGGAGAAAGGUGCCUCGAAAGAGGCCGCAGAGAAUAGGCCCAAGCAACUGUUUAGCAAAAACACAGGUCUAUGCAAAACCGCAAGGUGAAGUAUAUGGGCUGACGCCUGCCCGGUGCUGGAAGGUUAAGGGGAGAUGUCAGGAGACGAAGCAUCGAACUUAAGCCCCAGUAAACGGCGGCCGUAACAAUAACGGUCCUAAGGUAGCGAAAUUCCUUGUCGGGUAAGUUCCGACCCGCACGAAAGGCGUAAUGAUUUGGGCGCUGUCUCGGCAAUGCAUCCGGUGAAAUUGAAGUGCCAGUGAAGAUGCUGGCUACCCGCGCCAGGACGGAAAGACCCCAUGGAGCUUUACUCCAGCUUGAUACUGGGAUUCGGUAUUGUAUGUACAGGAUAGGUGGGAGGCUGAGAAAUGGUGACGCCAGUCGCCAUGGAGCCGCUGUUGGGAUACCACCCUUGCAGUACUGGAUUUCUAACCAGCAGCCGUGAUCCGGCUGGGGGACAAUGUCAGGUGGGGAGUUUGACUGGGGCGGUCGCCUCCGAAAGGGUAUCGGAGGCGCUCAAAGGUUCCCUCAGAAUGGUCGGAAACCAUUCGAAGAGUGCAAAGGCAGAAGGGAGCUUGACUGCGACACCGACGGGUGGGGCAGGUACGAAAGUAGGACUUAGUGAUCCGGUGGUAUUAAGUGGGAAUGCCAUCGCUCAACGGAUAAAAGCUACCCUGGGAUAACAGGCUUAUCACUCCCAAGAGUUCACAUCGACGGAGUGGUUUGGCACCUCGAUGUCGGCUCAUCGCAUCCUGGGGCUGUAGUAGGUCCCAAGGGUUGGGCUGUUCGCCCAUUAAAGCGGUACGCGAGCUGGGUUCAGAACGUCGUGAGACAGUUCGGUCCCUAUCCGGCGUGGGCGUAGGAUAUUUGAGAGGAGCUGACCUUAGUACGAGAGGACCGGGUUGGACUGACCUCUGGUGCACCGGUUGUCAUGCCAAUGGCACAGCCGGGUAGCCAAGUCGGGAAGGGAUAAACGCUGAAGGCAUCUAAGCGUGAAGCCCCCCUCAAGAUGAGAUAUCCCCCGCAUAAGCGGUAAGACCCCUUGAAGACGACGAGGUAGAUAGGGCAGAGGUGGAAGUGCAGUAAUGUAUGGAGCUGACUGCUACUAAUAGGUCGAAGGC
RNAcentral lists this ribosomal RNA (1679 nucleotides) under metagenome. RNAcentral describes it as "bacterial LSU rRNA". It matches the Rfam family "Bacterial large subunit ribosomal RNA", at positions 1200 to 2925 of the family's 2925-position model. The record is from RNAcentral.